CGGGCCGGACAGACAGCCGCCGCGCAGUGCGUAAGGCCUGCGGGGAGGAAAGUCCGGGCUGCACAGGGCAGGAUGCCGGCUAACGGCCGGGCGCGGCAACGCGACGGAAAGUGGAACAGAAAGCAAAACCGCCGACGGCUUUCGCAAGAAAGAACGGGCAAGGGUGAAAAGGUGCGGUAAGAGCGCACCGUGCACUUGGCAACAAGGCGCAGCAGGCCAAACCCCAUCCGCAGCAAGACCAAACAGAACGCAAAGACGCGGCCCGCCGAGCGUUCGGGUAGGUUGCUGGAGCGUAUCAGCAAUGGUGCGCCUAGAGGAAUGGCUGUCCGCGACAGAACCCGGCUUACCGCCCGACCCGUAUG
This 362-nucleotide RNase P RNA is filed under the name Neisseria sp. Its description in RNAcentral is "RNase P RNA component class A". It matches the Rfam family "Bacterial RNase P class A". From Rfam's summary of the family: Ribonuclease P (RNase P) is a ubiquitous endoribonuclease, found in archaea, bacteria and eukarya as well as chloroplasts and mitochondria. Its best characterised activity is the generation of mature 5'-ends of tRNAs by cleaving the 5'-leader elements of precursor-tRNAs. Lineage: Bacteria; Pseudomonadati; Pseudomonadota; Betaproteobacteria; Neisseriales; Neisseriaceae. The record is from RNAcentral.